CGGACUGAGGGAAAGGAGUUUGUUUCCCUCUCCCUGGUCUGACAGGAAACAGUUUGGCGCUCUCAGUGAGCGCUUCCUGUCAGACCGAGGAGAGAGAAACAAACUCCUCCCCUGAUGUUU
Non-coding RNA from Pelobates cultripes (western spadefoot toad), 120 nucleotides. Lineage: Eukaryota; Metazoa; Chordata; Amphibia; Anura; Pelobatidae. The record is from the annotation of a GenBank genome assembly.